CCCUUAGAUGUUCUGGGCCGCACGCGCGCUACACUGACGAAUGCAACGAGCUUAUAACCUUGGCCGAAAGGUCUGGGUAAUCUCCAAAUUUCGUCGUGAUGGGGAUAGAUUAUUGCAAUUAUUAAUCUUCAACGAGGAAUGCCUAGUAAGCGCAAGUCAUCAGCUUGCGUUGAUUACGUCCCUGCCCUUUGUACACACCGCCCGUCGCACCUACCGAUUGAAUGGUUCGGUGAAGAUCUCGGACUUCGAUAUUUAUUCUUUAUUGAGUUUAUAUUGUGGGAAGUUAUCUAAACCUCAUCAUUUAGAGGAAGGUGAAGUCGUAACA
This 325-nucleotide ribosomal RNA is filed under the name uncultured eukaryote. RNAcentral's name for it is "partial 18S ribosomal RNA". It matches the Rfam family "Eukaryotic small subunit ribosomal RNA", at positions 1470 to 1796 of the family's 1831-position model. The record is from RNAcentral.